Molecule: long non-coding RNA, 9290 nt
Filed under: Eucalyptus grandis
Lineage: Eukaryota; Viridiplantae; Streptophyta; Magnoliopsida; Myrtales; Myrtaceae
Description: long non-coding RNA (EGRA_LNC000459)
Source: RNAcentral
GGUGCAUCACGUUGAUGACUACCUACCACGUAUAUUUCACACCCUCUCAUAGGAAGAGACCAUCACAGCAAUUUUGUGCAACAGGGAAGUCUCGUUAGAGUCUUUUGAACUGAGAGGAGAGGUCCACUCCUGGUAAUUAUGUAGACUCCCCGUGAAAUCCGUGAAGAGCCCAUCAACUCCCAUCUUGUGAAUCCAGAACUCAUAUUCCUCAUAAGGAUCUUGAUUGAAGUUUAAGUGGAGAUACCUGUUCUCGUUCCUAUAGGUGUAAGGGUGCACCUGAAUUAAGCAUCACCAAGAUCAGAUAUCGAGAUUACCAGUCACAAUGAUGAAGUAAGCAUUGACCAGAUGAAUAUUAUCAUAAGCAACAUCUAAGUAGAGUGAAUUUGAAAGGACAAUAUGUAUUGACCAGAGAAUACAAUGUCUUACUCAACUGAUCGGUUUCGGAAACUUCUUUAGCACACCAAAAAUAUGAAAUCAUUCAGAAAGUCAGACUGGGGAAUACUUCUGUUGCAUUCAAUUAUCAUACACGGUAAAUAAUCACCUCCAAAUCGUGUGCAUGUGCUCGGGCAAUAAGAUCAGUCCGCGGUUGCAGAUAAUUGUUCACAACAGGAACCACAGUAUCUUUCCCAGGUCCAAUGCCCACUACAUAGUUCUUAAUAAAAUCGAAGUAUCCAUCCGAAGUAAUCUCCCAGUAUGACUGCAGAUUGUCAAAGGGCCAUUCAGACAAUUAGCAAACGCAAGUAGAAGUCAAAUAUGCUUCCAUCUCACCAAAGAAAGGGAAAAAAAAAAGAGAAAAAAAGAAGAAGCUGCUUCAGAACUAAUUAUUUGAGUAGAGGCUCCAUCAGGAAACUCAAUGGUGCAUCAGAUGAAUUAUGCAUGCAGAGGUCCCUCAGUUAAAUUUAGAUGUGUUUGAUUCAAUUUGAUCUAAACCAAAAUGACUUCAAUACGAAAAAUGUUAUUUUAAUUUUGGAAAAAGAAAAAAAUAAAAUAAAAUUCAGGAAUUGGUGACAGCAAUGGCAAACACCUCUCCAAGAUUGAAAAGGCAGCAAACUUACCUGGUUAGUGUCCUCAGUAGGAACGGUAAUGUCAUCAAUCAAGAAGAUUUUGGGCAAAUCUGUCAGAUUUGAUGCAUACACAAGGGAAGUAGGAGCAAAAGACUGGAUAAAUGCAGGUUGCUUCUUCCAUUCAUCCGACAGAUAUGAACCCUUAUAUCCAUACUUCUUAAGUGUCUCCACAAACACAUCCUCAAAUUUCUUCCCAUUUUGCCACUUCACCUGUACCGUGAGAGGAAGAGAAACUGUGUCAUCUACAACAGCUGAACGGACUUACUAGGUUGCUGAUGUAAAAUAAUUGGUUAUACCCACCUCAAAAAUAGAAAUUUUUUUAAAGGUACUGAAAUUGUUAUUAAUUAUUUGCAUGCAAUUUCGCAAGUGCAUGUUAAAAACUAGUAAUAAAGUGCAAUGUGUAGGCAAUAGCUCAAUGUUAAGAGGUUCUGCAUCUGUGGUGCCCUGCAACAUUAAAUUCUCAUUCUUUUUUGAACCAAGGAAAUGGAAAAGAUAACAUCUCAGUGAUAAUCAGCCAAAUAUCUAUUUUCUACCUCUCAAUGUUGAUGAGGCCAAAUCAAUAGUGGUAAAAGAGGACUCAAUUGCAUCUUUACACUAUGGGAGAUAGAGACUACGAUGUCCUAUCAUUCGAGUGACAGCUUACAAGAGAAUCCACUCACACGUUCAUUGAUGAACACAGGGUACUUAAUCUCAGGGUAUAUGCCGACAACUCUGGUUGCAUCCAGUGCGAUUGUAAUGUACUCUUCAAAAGUAAUAAUUUGAAAUUUCCCUGAGCAUGAGGAAGAUAAGAGUCAUUCAUUCCACCAGUUGAGAAGGAUAUGGAAGUAGUCUUAAUACUGCUAAAAGAAUAUAAGAAUUAGGAAGUUUGACUGAUUUAGAUAGCAUGUUUGCUGUAAAAGGUUUUAAAAAUUUUCCAUGUCUAAAACUCAGGCCUGAUACAUGCAACAAUCUAAAAGUUGAAAAGAAAGGUAUAGAAAAUCUGCAGUUUGGACAACGUGAUUAUCAUCUUUUUCUAAGCACAAUAAAAUGAUAUCCAUCAAAGGGGAUUCAGUUGCAAAUAAUGGUAGAGGCAAGCAAACUAUGGCCAUGAGUACAUUCAGCAGCAAUCGAAGGAUGACCUUAAAGAUAACACUGUUGAUUCAGUAACGAGUAACCAACCAUUAUAUUGCUGAUCCCGGAAUGGGUACCUCUGUCUCACCCUCAACGACUUUAGUUCUUUCAACGUGAAAUCAACUGCAUGUCAAGACGGUAGUAUAAGCAGAACAUAGCAAAAGGGUGAAAAUUCCUGUGAAUACACAGUCGAGGAGAAAUCAUUACCAGUAAAGAAGCCAGUAGUGUUAUUGCCUUGAACUACAUAGGUUCUAUUACGGUUAGCAAAUUCCUUGUGUUGAGCAACAUCGGUUGUAUUAUCAAGAGUCACAUCAUGGAAGCAUAUAAGAACACCAUCUUUGGACGAUAAAAUGUCUGUUUCAAUGAAGUCUGCGCCCUCUUUAAUUGCUCUCUGCAAUCAUCAGGUGACCCAAAGUUAGCAGGAAUAGUUUUCACCUGAUUGCAAAAUCUAUACGUAUAUCUGCAAAUAUGUAGAUCAACAGACUAAUGUAGAACCUCCAUGGAAACUGAAAAUAUGUACUCAUCACAUGGACCAGGCCCUAGACAUAGGUAUGCUUUCACUUUGACAACUUUACAAUGUCUAUCAGCAUAGAUCUAGAAGAAUACUAGUCAAUCCAGAGUCAAAUUCUUAAUGUGUAUCAUUUGAGAACAUAGCCUCGUCCAUCUUUCUGCCAAAUAUUGAGCACAUUUGAUAGAUGAAAGGUUAAACUCUGCAUCAUCACCAUAUAAGCAGCAGCAGUUUCUUCAGGAAGCUCUCCAUUUGAACCUCGAUGGGCUAUAUUAUAAGGACGAGAGGUCUGUAGUGGUCGUCUUUCUCCUUCUGCCACUUCGCUGGGGGGAGGGUAGAAAGGCCUUGCAGCACUCCCCACAAUGAGACAUGAAAGGGCAAAGAGAAUGAGACCUGCAAAUAUUUUCCAGCAUCACCGACAGCAAAAAGAGAUCACCCAAAGACAAAAUCAACAUGACAGACGACAAAUGCUGGUGUGCAUUUUAUUUAUUUCUCGAUCAGAGUCAUGCAAUACUCGAGCAUAUUAUCAUACAAUUAAAAUAGUUCAUCUGAGUGUUAUCUGACUAUGGCUGAGUUCCCCAUAUCAGAGGUUGUAGAAUAGAACAGAGAAAGCUUAAUAAAAUGCAGCAACAGCAGCCCAGGAAAAAAAAUAAAAAAAAAAUCCUUGACUAAACCUUCAACAAAUGCAUACAGUUAUCGAUACGAAUUCUCAAACCAUCAUAAUCAUAAUCUCCUCCAUCAUAUGGGCUUCCACAAUUCCAGCACAGUUCACCCAAGCCAAUGUGAUAAAACAAGAAAACAGACACGUGACCAUCAUCCCCCGGCAAAGAAAAAUCAGCAUACUAAGUGACUAAAUAAUAUCGAUACUGACACGCGACACGCGAUACAACAUGACACGACACGAAUUUCUUAAAAAAUAAAAAAUUUCGACAUGUUGGGAUACAUUGUAUAUUAGAUAUAUAUUUUUAUAUAUACAUAAUAAAGUAUCAUUUUUAUAAUUAUUUCAGUCAAAUUAAUUUGAAUCAAAUUCAUAAAUAAAUAAAUAAUUAAAAAAGCCUAUAAUGAAUACACACUAAUCCAUUAAUUCGUCAUUUAUUAAUAUCAUUCAUUGUUUUGAUUUGAUAAAUUCAACUCUAUUUCAAUAAUUCAUAAAAUUUGAAGAAAAAACAAGUGAUCAAUGUUCUGGACUCGAAUAUUAGAUAUGUUAAAAGAGAAGUAAAAAAACUUAAGGGUGAAUUGUGUAUCACUAGAAAUGAGAGUCAGAAGAGAAGAGAAGACUAAGUUUUUCUUCUUUCUCUAUUAUUAUUUUUAUUAUUGUGUUUUAUUUUUUCAUAUAUAUAUUUUGAUAUCUUAUUUAUUGAAUUUUUAAAUUUGACGUCGAUAUCAAAUGUUAGAAUUCCGACUCGAGUGUCGGAGAGUGUCAAGAAAGUUGACCAUGUGUCGAAUUUUCUGACAUGUGUUGACCGAGUGUCGAAGAGUGUUCGAUACGACACGAAGGCUCUCGGAUUGUAUUGGUGUUUCAUAGCUAAGCGAAACGAAAGAGAACCCAUUCCUCACAUGAAUAAGUAAAACUGGACCGAUGCCAGCGCACAACUAUAUGCUCGAGACUAAAGAAGGACAGACAGCCACAGCAAGAACGAAACAAGAGAAAAUAAAAAUAAAAACAAGAAUCGAUCAAAGCUUCAAGAUUCCAACUUACAGGCAGAACCCAUGAUUCUUGUCUCGACCCUGCCUUCUGUCUCUCACCCAGAACCCUCUCUGCACCUCCCUCUCGCCCCCCUCCCUGUCGACUGGUCUGGCUUUCUUGCACUCCUUUUCCCGGGUGCCGUUCUUGCCUUGUAUACCGUCGACAGUCCCCUUUUUUUUUGGGGUUUCUUCUCGGUCCGGUCGUCUUUUAAUAGGAUUCCAGGUUGGGUUGGGGGACUUUUCGCCGUGGAUCUAGACGCGAGCUCCCCAAGUCAUCCAUUCCUUAUCCUCACCCGGGACGGCUCCUUGUCUUUCUCAAGGAUUGACCGACUAAUCUUGGAAGAGUAGCUAAGCUCUCAAGGCAACGCCUCGCCACGUGUGGAGCAACGGGCGGUGCUCGGUCUUGUCCGUAUAUGCUCUCAGCGUCGGAAGUCUUGGUUCGGGUCAACGCAUUGCGUUCAGUUUUGGACCACUUUACAUCAAUCGUGAACUAUAAUGGCAGUUGAUUCAUUGAAUUGGGGAGGGAGAAUUUUGGGGUGAUUCGAUGUAAUAUUCCGAUGAAGAGGUUGGCCGCUUUCAUUUGCAAAUUAGUCUGAUUCAAUGUAGCAUCUAAUCAAAACUGAGCAUGAUUCGAAAUUUUAAACUAUCGCGAAUCAACCGCUUAUAAAAUGCGAGAGUGUACUUUUGCAAUUUGUUUGUGGCGACCUAUUUGGCCAAAGGGUUUGCUAUGUACAUUGAUAGCAACUUCCUUAUUACAUGGGCCACAUGUGUACUAGAGGCAAGAUGACCAUAGCCUCAUUGGUCAAAAUUUAUUAUAUCACGCGUUUUUUGACAUCGAUUCAGACGGAAAAAGAUGUGACAUACCAAGAACAUUGACAAAUUCACCACAUUCUACUGUUUGACAUUAAUGAAACCCAAUAAUUUAUAGCACAUUUGAGAGUCCUACCUAAGACACGUUUCAAAGCAUAAAUCUCCGUUUUUAAGACUCUUUUCACAGCAGAAAUCACAUUCUGCUAUUCGGUCGCUUUCAUUUGAAGUUACAGGAAUGCUAGAGGUGAAGGUUGUGUCUUCAAUGUGGAGUUAACAGAUGAAGAUGUAAGUGGGAUACUGCUUUUUAAUUCUAAACUUCCGGUGAUAUAUUUAAGAAGCAUAUUCAGCUCUCAGAUAUAUGACCACUGCAUCGCAACUGAAUGAUUUAGUCGGCUCGUUGUGCAGGGUACACAAACACAAGCAACAAUGUUCAAUGACGCUGCCAGGAAAUUCUAUGACAAGCUUGAAAUGGGAAAGGUGUAUUACAUAUCAAGAGGAACGCUGAAGGUCGCUAAUAAACAGUUCAAGACAGUGCAAAAUGACUAUGAGAUGACCUUGAACGAGAAUUCUGAAGUGAAAGAGGCCAGUAGUGAAGCUUCUUUUGUCCCCGAAACAAAAUUUAAUUUUGUCCCAAUCGAUAUGUUAGGUCCCCAUGUCAACGGGAAAGAGCUCAUUGGUAAGAAUACAAGUAUCCACUCCAAUGCUCACUUCGGUGUGAUGUAAUUUGAUACACGCGCCCUAAUUCUCUCUUUAUUGAUUCAGAUGUUAUUGGCGUGGUUCAAGGUGUUUCUCCUACCAUAAGCAUACGAAGAAAAAGCAACGAUGACAUUAUCCCUAAGCGCGAUAUAACUAUUGCUGAUGAGACGUAAGUUUUUCCCACCAUUUUUGGAGCCUCUCUUGUUUGUUGUCGUCUAAUGCCUAACACAAGUGUAUGAAAAUCAGGAAGAAGACCGUUGUGGUUUCUCUGUGGAAUGAUCUUGCGACCACUGUAGGUCAGGAAUUGCUCGACUCUUCUGACCAAUCGCCUAUUGUUGCUAUAAAGUCCUUGAGAGUUGGGGAUUUCCAAGGUAAUUGCUAUCUUGAUUUUUUUUUUUGGUUAUAUACUUGGUUCAAAGAGUUCUGUUCUUGUUUGGAUUUAGGACAGUGGAUUGAUUUAUAUGAUGAAUUUUGUUUUUUUUUAAUAUUUGCCAAACCUGAAUAAAAUAAGUUCCUAGUUCAUAUUCGAAAAGUUUUAUGUACUAACAUAUAUCUCGAGAGUGCAAUUUAUCCAAUUAAUGUAAUAAGGUAUAUCCCAUAUUAUAAAUUAAUGUUGUGGUGAUAAUAUAUGCUUUUAGUUGUCUUCAACUUUAAGAGUGGAUGAAUUACGUUACUGUGGUAUCCUCUUUCAGGUGUAUCUUUGUCUACAAUAAAGUAAAUCCAGAGACACCGGAAGCAAAGAAGCUGAGAUCCUGGUGAGUUUGUGUGGGCAAGCAACUAUGACCGUUCUGUUCUUUCUGCGCUUUUGAAUAGUUCUUUAAGUUAUGAACCCUUUUUUGAUAGGUUUGACUCUGAAGGUAAAGGCAGCUCAAUGGACUCUGUUGGUUCAGGCAUUACUGUCUUAUCAAGAAAUGGAUGAAGGUCCAUGUAUUCUGACAGAGUGUUCCUUUCUCAUUUUACUAGCAAUCCUUCUUUGGGUGAAGACAAGGUAAACAUGUAGAAUUUAGCUGACUCCAAGCUAACCCACCAUUUUUGUGGUAUGGGUCUGUUUCUCUGGUUUUAACUCGAUCGAUUCGUUUUGGAACAGCCUGCAUCUUUCAGCGUUAGAGCCUACGUGAGUUUCAUUAGGUCUGAUCAAACGAUGUGGUAUCGUGCAUGCAAAACAUGUAAAAAGAAAGUGACAGAAGCUAUUGGAUCUGGAUAUUGGUGCGAAGGGUGUCAGAAAAAUGAUGAAGGAUGCAGUUUGAGGUGAGAACCUUCGCAUUUACGAAAUUCUUUACAGAUAUAGUGGGUGUGAAGGCAAUAAUUGGCGCAUACUGUAUUUUCGUGCAAUUAAAUGAUAAUUGUUCUAUUUGUUUUCUCCGUUUUGAUGCUACAGAUACAUAAUGGUAGCGAAGGUUUCAGACCCAAGUGGUGAAGCAUGGCUUUCUGCAUUCAAUGAAGAAGCAGAGCAUAUCAUUGGGUGCCCAGCUGAUGAGCUCAAUCAACUGAGAUCACAGGUAAGCCAAGAACAAACAUAUAAAGGUAAAUUAAUCAGUGGUGCCCAGCUGAUGUGCUAAUGUCGAUAUCAAUUCUCGACGUUGUUUCAGGAGAACGAGGAGAACCCAUAUCAGCUAAUGCUGAAACUAGUAACUUGGGUUCCUCAUCUUUUCCGGGUCAGCAUAGCUCAGCAUGAGACUAUGAGUACAUGGCCGAAAAGAGGCAAAGGAUAACAGUGAGAGGAGUUGCUCCUGUUGAUUUCGCUGCAGAGUCCAGAUUUUUGCUGGAAGAAAUAUCGAAAGAGAAAGCUUCUCAGUAGGCUUUGGAUGGGUUUUGUCGUCUCUAACUAUGUGUUGGUUAAUCUCUCCUUGUCGAGUGGGGACUCCAUUUGGGAUCCUCUUCUUUUGCUUGUAUAUGGCUUUCAGGGUUUAGUAGAAACAGGCGGCUUGCUGCAUCUCUAGACUUGCUUUAAUAGUUACAACAUGUUUAUGUCUAUAAUCUCACUUUGCCAUCGAAAUUCAAUUUGCCAAAUCUGUGAUCGAAGUUAGUAAUUCUUCAAUUUCCUGACAUGAGAUUUUAAUGAAGCUUGGUGACUGUCACAUAUAGACUGAAUUUGAACCGAAACAGAACUAUGGGAUGUCCUGGUUAGAUCAGCACUGAUCCAUGAAUCCGCCACAAAAUAAUUAUUCUACCUCAAAAACUCAGGAGGCUAGAGCUAAGUGAACGUCUGAUCUUCCCAGUAGUAAUUUCCUGUCCAAGGGAGCUGCAGUUAAAUCCAAGGUUGCAUGUAUCACUAACAGCCCAGGUUAGUGUAACAUCAAAUGGAGAAGGUAUUGAUGGUAGUAUAAUGUUUAGGAAUAAGUGUGUUGGAAGUCUUAAAAUUUUAUCAUAAAUAUAUAAUUUAAUCUUAAAAGUUUCAAGAAGUGCAAUUGAAUUUUAAAAUUUAUUAUUUAAAACUCUUAAAAAGUGUAAUGAAAUCUUAAAACUUACUAAAUUGAUUAACUCUAAUCUUUCGAUAAUAUUUUUUCAAAGUUUUCUCACUCAAUUGCAUUUUUAUGAUAAGUUUUAGGACUUGAUUACAUUUUUUGAAAGUUUUAGUAUUCAAUUGUAUUUUUAUGAUAAAUUUUAGAAUUUAAAUACACUUUUUGAAAGUUUUAGGACAAUUUUGCACUUUCAUGACAGGUAUUAGGCUUGUAGUGCACUUAUCUAUAAUGUUUAACAAUAGAUUGCCAAGUCAAGGAUUUCUCAUGUAUUUCUGGACCAUAAUAUGCUCUCCUUCACCCUUUUGAUACCCUCAUCUUCAGUGUCGCGUUAUUCUCUUUUUGAAGCCAAAAAGAAAAUUUUAUUUGCACUGAGAUCAACAUUUCUUUACAGAGAGAACAAGUCUAAAAUGGUCCGAAACUUAGCAAGAGAAAGCGUAGACUGCAACAAAAUGACGUAGAGCUACUCCGGACACUCAACAGCUCAUUGGAACUCCCAAUAAAUCUACAAGAAAAAUUUCCAAAUGAUGACCAUAAGCCAGCGGAACGAGGGCUAAAGUUUUAUUCUUGGCAUAUGAUGACCAUGUACAGUCGUCCUCGCCGCUGCCGCCCCCGCUAAUUCACUAGCUAAACUUUCAUUCCAUGCAGAAGCACAUUUUACUCAUCUAACAAAUGAAAAAAAAUAAUGGUGCAUCACGUUGAUGACUACCUACCGCAUAUAUUUCACACCCUCUCAUAGGAAGAGACCAUCACAGCAAUUUUGUGCAACAGGGAAGUCUCGUUAGAGUCUUUUGAACUGAGAGGAGAGGUCCACUCCUGGUAAUUGUGUAGACUCCCCGUGAAAUCCGUGAAGAGCCCAUCAACUCCCAUCUUGUGAAUCCAGAACUCGUAUUCCUCAUAAGGAUCUUGAUUGAAGUUUAAGUGGAGAAACAUGUUCUCGUUCCUAUAGGUGUAAGG